Molecule: ribosomal RNA, 443 nt
Filed under: uncultured bacterium
Lineage: Bacteria
Description: partial 16S ribosomal RNA
Rfam family: Bacterial small subunit ribosomal RNA
Source: RNAcentral
CCUACGGGUGGCAGCAGUGGGGAAUAUUGGGCAAUGGGCGCAAGCCUGACCCAGCAACGCCGCGUGAAGGAAGAAGGCUUUCGGGUUGUAAACUUCUUUUCUCAGGGACGCAGAAAGUGACGGUACCUGAGGAAUAAGCCACGGCUAACUACGUGCCAGCAGCCGCGGUAAUCCGUAGGUGGCAAGCGUUAUCCGGAUUUAUUGGGUGUAAAGGGCGUGUAGGCGGGAGCGCGAGUCAGAUGUGAAAACUCAGGGCUCAACCCUGGGCCUGCAUUUGAAACUGUGUUUCUUGAGUGAUGGAGAGGCAAGCGGAAUUCGGGGUGUAGCGGUGAAAUGCGUAGAUAUCACGCAGAACUCCGAUUGCGAAGGCAGCAUGCCGGCUUUCGACUGACGCUGAAGCACGAAAGCGUGGGGAUCGAACAGGAUUAGAUACCCUAGUAGUC